This is a non-coding RNA of Tetranychus urticae (two-spotted spider mite), 647 nucleotides long. NCBI's taxonomy places the organism in Eukaryota, Metazoa, Arthropoda, Arachnida, Trombidiformes, Tetranychidae. The record is from RefSeq and is a predicted model, not a curated record.
UGAAGGCAAUGCACACAAAAUGAGGUUCAACAGUAUAUCGCAUAAAUCAUCUUGGAAGCUGAAAAAGUAACCAAAUUAUUACAAUGAAGGAUAAAAUCUGGAAAAAAAUGUACAUUUGUAGUGGCAAUUUCAAGCAAUGUUUUUAUCAAUCCAAUAGUGCUUUUUAAUGGCUCCAGAUUUGGUUUCAUUUGGCAAUCAAUACUUAUCGGAAUCUGGAUAAAACAACAUGGGCACCAUGGGAAAUAUGGAAUAAAGAAAGACAAUUGAAGUUUCCCAUUUGAAUUGAAUCAUUUUUUCUCAAGGAAAAAAAAGUGUUGACCUGGAUACCGAGAUGACCAACUUGGAUGUAGACGUAAAGGACGAGAUAUGCAAAGUGAAACUUUUGAGCAAAUAUUUAAAGAGGAUGUGGUUCGUGUGUUUGGGUCGGGUUCCUGUUUGAAGAACAGAAGAAGUACCUUCUUUUUUCAUCAUCGCCAUCAUGUUCAUCUUUUUAUUGUUGAUGGCACACGAGUUGACGAGAUGACUGUUGACUUUACUUCCUUUCCAUAUAAAUUGAAGAUGAAACGCAUGUCAUCUUAAUAGGCACUGGAAGAGGCGAGCCAAAGUAAAGAUCAAGACCAAACCCUCCAAACGCACUUAGGCUGAUG